UUUCUCUAUGAGAAUGUUUUUUGAUUAAUUCCUUUUCAUGAGAGAGUGAGAGAUGUGGAGAUCAAAGAUCUGCAGUCAGAGUAUCAGCUAGAGAAGAUCGAUUACUUGGCCACCAUUUGUUGGCAAAAAUGUAACUUCAUGCUCUUCCAGCAGCUCCUGGAGCAGGUGCAGCCACUGAUUCACCGGGACUGUUAAUUUCUGCAACCUGGAGAAGAUUAGGCGCAAAUCCUGCUGGGAUGAGGAUAAUGGCUUCUGGAAGAUUCUAGAGCCCAUCAUCUUAAAAACCAGUCUCCCAGUAGUUUCAACAGGGCCACAGAACAAACCAGGCUACAAAACCUCUGCAGGAGACAACGGCGAACCAUGCAUGCGGGAGCAAGACCCCUAGAAGCUGAUGCUCAGUUGGUCGGACUGUGAAAAUACUGCCAGUAGCUACUUCGGUUCAAGCUGGCCACCCAGACCCUCUGCACAGAGACCCCCGAGGAGCCUCAUGCAUCCAGAGUCGCUGCCAGGCCUGCACAGCUUCUCUGCCCUCCCGCCCCGCUGCAGCUCCGGCCUUUCCACCUCGAAUCCCCCCACAUCCCCUUCUUGGAGGUCACGCAGCAGGAAAAGCAGAAGCGCCUUUGGCGGUGGGCCCCGCAGCUGCCUGCCGCUGCCCUGCCUUUGAGCUUCCCAGACAGCCCGGCCAGGCCUCCCCGCACCCGUGACCAGAGGCUCAAGGAGGUCCAGGCCGGGGCCGCCCUCCAGGCCUCGGUAGUGUUGCCCCUGCUCGCUGCCGCUGCGCCCCGGCGGCGGCUUGUGCGCAGAAACCUCCGCGCUGCCUCGGGGCCUUUGCAGCAUCCGCACAGAGCCAAGCAGCUUCCACGUGGAUCGAACUCGAACUCGGCAUCUUGACUGAACAUUGUGUCCCCGGCAUCCCUGCGCGGGAAGUCUUGGGGCUGGGUCAUGUUUAUUCGUGGGACGCAUGCCACAGCAUGGCUUGAUAAAUGCUGUGUAGGUCUGUGGCUGGGAUCUGAACUGGCGAGGCCUGGGCCACUGAAGCGGAGUGCAUGAACUUAACUGCUACGCCGCCACCAGACCUGCAGGAUGACCACUGAUAAGACAGUAGCUUCCUGACAGCCUCCCACCUCACUAAGCAUCAUGCAGGAGCAAUGAGAAGCUAAAAUGACCAAUUGACUUUGACUGGAUAUUUCUUUACACACUGAAAAUUCAUUCACCCUACUGCCACUUCUCAGGACCUGUGACGGGGAAUGAAAAUCCAAGCUGCCUUUGAGAUAUCACCCUGAAGCUUGGGCUCUAGACCUCCUGCAGCAUCGCCUCUGCUGUAUUCUAUUAGUCAGAGCAAUUUUCGGGGCCACUCCAAAUUUAAGAGGUCAGGAAAUAGACUCCAACUGUUGAUGAGAGGAACUAAAAAUGAUUUGUGGCCGUAUUUAAUCUACCACACUAUCCUAUUCCUGCUAUUAAAAUUCCUUUGGGAUGAUCUUUGAAAAUAAUUUUGUGAAUAAAACAGGGCAAAAUUUUCAAUGAAUUUGUCUAGAAUAAACCAUACAUUGUCAAGUCUGUAGCUCUUGCUGGUUGUAAGCUCUUUAUCCAUGACUCUCACCUUAUUCACAUUUCUAUCCCUUCUAUUUAGUGUAGUUCCUGAGAGAGAGUAUGCAGAAAAGUACUUGUUUUAUGAAUGAUUGAUUAAACCAUAACAUUCUUUCUACAAAAGUCAUAAAAUGUCUAAAACGUAAAUGUUGAAAUCUUAUCUCUACUUCUCGGGCCAAAGGGCCUCCAACAGGCUUACUGUUCUAAAUAAUCCCCAAACAUUAAUAAGUAAGAGCAACUAUAUUCAAAGAGUUUUAUACAUUCAAUUAAGUAUGUUUUAGAUGUUUAAUGUGAUACCACAAAUAAGACGCCCUCAAUUUAGUUGUCUUUCUCAAGGUGGACAAAAUGAUUGUGCACAUUGGGGCACACCACAGAAGAUACUUUUCAAAAGAAAAC
Molecule: long non-coding RNA, 1983 nt
Filed under: Equus asinus (donkey)
Lineage: Eukaryota; Metazoa; Chordata; Mammalia; Perissodactyla; Equidae
Description: lncRNA (ENSEASG00005028166.1)
Source: RNAcentral